Molecule: ribosomal RNA, 224 nt
Filed under: uncultured bacterium
Lineage: Bacteria
Description: partial 16S ribosomal RNA
Rfam family: Bacterial small subunit ribosomal RNA
Source: RNAcentral
GCGGAUCUCAAAGCCUGUCCCAGUUCGGACUGGAGUCUGCAACCCGACUCCACGAAGUUGGAUUCGCUAGUAAUCGCGCAUCAGCCAUGGCGCGGUGAAUACGUUCCCGGGCCUUGUACACACCGCCCGUCAAGCCAUGGGAGCCGGGGGCGCCUGAAGUCCGGGACCGCGAGGACCGGCCUAGGGCGAAACUGGUAACUGGGGCUAAGUCGUAACAAGGUAUC